Molecule: ribosomal RNA, 264 nt
Filed under: Escherichia coli
Lineage: Bacteria; Pseudomonadati; Pseudomonadota; Gammaproteobacteria; Enterobacterales; Enterobacteriaceae
Description: partial 16S ribosomal RNA
Rfam family: Bacterial small subunit ribosomal RNA
Source: RNAcentral
GCAAGCGGACCUCAUAAAGUGCGUCGUAGUCCGGAUUGGAGUCUGCAACUCGACUCCAUGAAGUCGGAAUCGCUAGUAAUCGUGGAUCAGAAUGCCACGGUGAAUACGUUCCCGGGCCUUGUACACACCGCCCGUCACACCAUGGGAGUGGGUUGCAAAAGAAGUAGGUAGCUUAACCUUCGGGAGGGCGCUUACCACUUUGUGAUUCAUGACUGGGGUGAAGUCGUAACAAGGUAACCGUAGGGGAACCUGCGGUUGGAUCAC